Molecule: ribosomal RNA, 1431 nt
Filed under: uncultured bacterium
Lineage: Bacteria
Description: bacterial SSU rRNA
Rfam family: Bacterial small subunit ribosomal RNA
Source: RNAcentral
AGAGUUUGAUCCUGGCUCAGGACGAACGCUGGCGGCGUGCCUAAUACAUGCAAGUCGAGCGAGCUUGCCUAGAUGAUUUUAGUGCUUGCACUAAAUGAAACUAGAUACAAGCGAGCGGCGGACGGGUGAGUAACACGUGGGUAACCUGCCCAAGAGACUGGGAUAACACCUGGAAACAGAUGCUAAUACCGGAUAACAACACUAGACGCAUGUCUAGAGUUUGAAAGAUGGUUCUGCUAUCACUCUUUGAUGGACCUGCGGUGCAUUAGCUAGUUGGUAAGGUAACGGCUUACCAAGGCAAUGAUGCAUAGCCGAGUUGAGAGACUGAUCGGCCACAUUGGGACUGAGACACGGCCCAAACUCCUACGGGAGGCAGCAGUAGGGAAUCUUCCACAAUGGACGAAAGUCUGAUGGAGCAACGCCGCGUGAGUGAAGAAGGGUUUCGGCUCGUAAAGCUCUGUUGGUAGUGAAGAAAGAUAGAGGUAGUAACUGGCCUUUAUUUGACGGUAAUUACUUAGAAAGUCACGGCUAACUACGUGCCAGCAGCCGCGGUAAUACGUAGGUGGCAAGCGUUGUCCGGAUUUAUUGGGCGUAAAGCGAGUGCAGGCGGUUCAAUAAGUCUGAUGUGAAAGCCUUCGGCUCAACCGGAGAAUUGCAUCAGAAACUGUUGAACUUGAGUGCAGAAGAGGAGAGUGGAACUCCAUGUGUAGCGGUGGAAUGCGUAGAUAUAUGGAAGAACACCAGUGGCGAAGGCGGCUCUCUGGUCUGCAACUGACGCUGAGGCUCGAAAGCAUGGGUAGCGAACAGGAUUAGAUACCCUGGUAGUCCAUGCCGUAAACGAUGAGUGCUAAGGUGUUGGGAGGUUUCCGCCUCUCAGUGCUGCAGCUAACGCAUUGAGCACUCCGCCUGGGGAGUACGACCGCAAGGUUGAAACUCAAAGGAAUUGACGGGGGCCCGCACAAGCGGUGGAGCAUGUGGUUUAAUUCGAAGCAACGCGAAGAACCUUACCAGGUCUUGACAUCCAGUGCAAACCUAAGAGAUUAGGUGUUCCCUUCGGGGACGCUGAGACAGGUGGUGCAUGGCUGUCGUCAGCUCGUGUCGUGAGAUGUUGGGUUAAGUCCCGCAACGAGCGCAACCCUUGUCAUUAGUUGCCAUCAUUAAGUUGGGCACUCUAAUGAGACUGCCGGUGACAAACCGGAGGAAGGUGGGGAUGACGUCAAGUCAUCAUGCCCCUUAUGACCUGGGCUACACACGUGCUACAAUGGACGGUACAACGAGAAGCGAACCUGCGAAGGCAAGCGGAUCUCUUAAAGCUGUUCUCAGUUCGGACUGUAAGCUGCAACUCGCCUACACGAAGCUGGAAUCGCUAGUAAUCGCGGAUCAGCACGCCGCGGUGAAUACGUUCCCGGGCCUUGUACUCACCGCCCGUCA